AAAGGCUUUAGCUUAAUUAAAGUGCUUGAGUUGCAUUCAGGAGAUGUAUCAUAAUAUAGUACAGGUCUUA
This 70-nucleotide transfer RNA is filed under the name Anolis placidus. Its description in RNAcentral is "tRNA-Ala". Lineage: Eukaryota; Metazoa; Chordata; Lepidosauria; Squamata; Anolidae. The record is from RNAcentral.